RNAcentral lists this unclassified non-coding RNA (378 nucleotides) under plant metagenome. RNAcentral describes it as "partial contains 5.8S ribosomal RNA, internal transcribed spacer 2, and large subunit ribosomal RNA". The stretch from base 1 to 105 matches the Rfam family "5.8S ribosomal RNA", at positions 50 to 154 of the family's 154-position model. The record is from RNAcentral.
GAAAUGCGAUAAGUAAUGUGAAUUGCAGAAUUCAGUGAACCAUCGAACCUUUGAACGCACAUUGCGCUCCUUGGUAUUCCUUGGAGCAUGCCUGUUUGAGUAUCAUGAAAUCUUCAAAGUAAAUCUUUUGUUAACUCAAUUGGUUUCUACUUUGGUAUUGGAGGUCUUUGCAGCUUCACACCUGCUCCUCUUUGUUCAUUAGCUGGAUCUCAGUGUUAUGCUUGGUUCCACUCGGCGUGAUAAGUUAUCUAUCGCUGAGGACACUGUAAAAGGUGGCCAAGGUAAAUGCAGAUGAACCGCUUCUAAUAGUCCAUUGACUUGGACAAUACUUUUAUGAUCUGAUCUCAAAUCAGGUAGGACUACCCGCUGAACUUAAGC